Molecule: ribosomal RNA, 547 nt
Filed under: uncultured bacterium
Lineage: Bacteria
Description: bacterial SSU rRNA
Rfam family: Bacterial small subunit ribosomal RNA
Source: RNAcentral
UGGGGAAUAUUGCGCAAUGGGGGGAACCCUGACGCAGCCAUGCCGCGUGAAUGAAGAAGGCCUUAGGAUUGUAAAGUUCUUUCGGUAUUGAGGAAGGUUGAUGUGUUAAUAGCACAUCAAAUUGACGUUAAAUACAGAAGAAGCACCGGCUAACUCCGUGCCAGCAGCCGCGGUAAUACGGAGGGUGCGAGCGUUAAUCGGAAUAACUGGGCGUAAAGGGCACGCAGGCGGUUAUUUAAGUGAGGUGUGAAAGCCCCGGGCUUAACCUGGGAAUUGCAUUUCAGACUGGGUAACUAGAGUACUUUAGGGAGGGGUAGAAUUCCACGUGUAGCGGUGAAAUGCGUAGAGAUGUGGAGGAAUACCGAAGGCGAAGGCAGCCCCUUGGGAAUGUACUGACGCUCAUGUGCGAAAGCGUGGGGAGCAAACAGGAUUAGAUACCCUGGUAGUCCACGCUGUAAACGCUGUCGAUUUGGGGGUUGGGGUUUAACUCUGGCGCCCGUAGCUAACGUGAUAAAUCGACCGCCUGGGGAGUACGGCCGCAAGGUUA